Molecule: transfer RNA, 72 nt
Filed under: Camelus bactrianus (Bactrian camel)
Lineage: Eukaryota; Metazoa; Chordata; Mammalia; Artiodactyla; Camelidae
Also listed under: 2 other names
Rfam family: tRNA
About the family: Transfer RNA (tRNA) molecules are approximately 80 nucleotides in length. Their secondary structure includes four short double-helical elements and three loops (D, anti-codon, and T loops).
Source: Rfam by way of RNAcentral
GAGGGUAUAGCUCAGUGGUAGAGAGUGUGCUUAGCAUGCAUGAGGUUCUGGGUUCAAUCCCCACUACCUCCA